This 433-nucleotide ribosomal RNA is filed under the name uncultured bacterium. RNAcentral's name for it is "partial 16S ribosomal RNA". It matches the Rfam family "Bacterial small subunit ribosomal RNA", at positions 29 to 507 of the family's 1533-position model. The record is from RNAcentral.
AACGAACGCUGGCGGCAUGCCUAACACAUGCAAGUCGAACGAGACCUUCGGGUCUAGUGGCGCACGGGUGCGUAACGCGUGGGAACCUGCCCUUAGGUUCGGAAUAACUCCCCGAAAGGGGUGCUCAUACCGGAUAAUGUCUUCGGACCAAAGAUUUAUCGCCUUUGGAUGGGCCCGCGUUGGAUUAGCUAGUUGGUAGGGUAAAAGCCUACCAAGGCGACGAUCCAUAGCUGGUCUGAGAGGAUGAUCAGCCACACUGGGACUGAGACACGGCCCAGACUCCUACGGGAGGCAGCAGUGGGGAAUAUUGGACAAUGGGCGAAAGCCUGAUCCAGCAAUGCCGCGGGAGUGAUGAAGGCCUUAGGGUUGUAAAGCUCUUUUACCCGGGAUGAUAAUGACAGUACCGGGAGAAUAAGCUCCGGCUAACUCCGUG